This 520-nucleotide ribosomal RNA is filed under the name uncultured Entrophospora. RNAcentral's name for it is "SSU rRNA". It matches the Rfam family "Eukaryotic small subunit ribosomal RNA", at positions 569 to 1087 of the family's 1831-position model. Lineage: Eukaryota; Fungi; Glomeromycota; Glomeromycetes; Entrophosporales; Entrophosporaceae. The record is from RNAcentral.
AGCAGCCGCGGUAAUUCCAGCUCCAAUAGCGUAUAUUAAAGUUGUUGCAGUUAAAAGCUCGUAGUUGAAUUUCGGGAUUGACACAUCGGUCGUGCCUUAAGGGGUAUGAACUGGUGUAGUCAAUUUCUCACCUUCUGGAGAACCGCGAUGCCCUUAAUUGGGUGUCGUGGGGAACCAGGACCUUUACUUUGAAAAGAUUAGAGUGUUUAAAGCAGGCAUUUUGCUUGAAUACAUUAGCAUGGAAUAAUAAAUAGGACGGCAUGAUUCUAUUUUGUUGGUUUCUAGGAUCACCGUAAUGAUUAAUAGGGAUAGUUGGGGGCAUUAGUAUUCAAUUGUCAGAGGUGAAAUUCUUGGAUUUAUUGAAGACUAACUACUGCGAAAGCAUUUGCCAAGGAUGUUUUCAUUAAUCAAGAACGAAAGUUAGGGAUCGAAGACGAUCAGAUACCGUCGUAGUCUUAACCAUAAACUAUAGCCGACUAGGAAUCAGACGAUGUUAAUUUUUAAUGUACUCGUUGGCACC